This 468-nucleotide ribosomal RNA is filed under the name uncultured bacterium. RNAcentral's name for it is "partial 16S ribosomal RNA". It matches the Rfam family "Bacterial small subunit ribosomal RNA", at positions 28 to 507 of the family's 1533-position model. The record is from RNAcentral.
GACGAACGCUGGCGGCGUGCUUAACACAUGCAAGUCGAACGGAAAGGCCCUGCUUUUGUGGGGUGCUCGAGUGGCGAACGGGUGAGUGACACGUGAGUAACCUGCCCUUGACUUUGGGAUAACUUCAGGAAACUGGGGCUAAUACCGGAUAGGAGCUCCUGCUGCAUGGUGGGGGUUGGAAAGUUUCGGCGGUUGGGGAUGGACUCGCGGCUUAUCAGCUUGUUGGUGGGGUAGUGGCUUACCAAGGCUUUGACGGGUAGCCGGCCUGAGAGGGUGACCGGCCACAUUGGGACUGAGAUACGGCCCAGACGCCUACGGGAGGCAGCAGUGGGGAAUAUUGCACAAUGGGCGGAAGCCUGAUGCAGCAACGCCGCGUGCGGGAUGACGGCCUUCGGGUUGUAAACCGCUUUCGCCUGUGACGAAGCGUGAGUGACGGUAAUGGGUAAAGAAGCACCGGCUAACUACGUG